Amphiprion ocellaris (clown anemonefish) is the source of this 3571-nucleotide long non-coding RNA. Lineage: Eukaryota; Metazoa; Chordata; Actinopteri; Pomacentridae. The record is from Ensembl.
CGUGAUGCAAGUUGAGGUUCAUCGGAUUGCAGUCUAUAUACUCCGUGCUGCGUACCAGCUCUCUGUGGCUAGACACGCGCACUGCUGCUGACUCUGAGCCAAUCAGAGAGAGCAGCGUGCCAUACAAACCCCAGAGAAGCUCGAGGAGGACAGUGGAUCGGAGUCAUGAACUGGGAGAUAAACAGCCAGUUUGAGCUGCAGCUUCACAGAAACAACAGAAACCUGACGCUGUCGCUGAUGGAGCUCCGACAGCUGUAUGAAGAAAACAACCGCCAAGCUCCUGGGAUCAUCUUAGGUCUGCUCAGGUGUGCUAAGAUUGAUGGAAGACCUCUGGAUACUGUACUGCUGGAGAAGCUGCUUGGCUGCAUCAUUGCUGGCUGUGCUUUUGGGGUUAAUGUGAUUCAAAAAAUGUUUUGACGAAGGAUUUGUAACAGAAGAACAGAAGCCACGAUGAAGAGAUCAUCUGAAAAAAAAUUUCAUCAAUAAUGACGAAUCCUGGGGAAGACUGCUGGAACGGUCCUGCCUCUGCUGCCAACCUCCUGUCCGACCGCUGGAGCGGUCCUGCCUCCGCCGCCGGUCUCCUGCCCGACCGCCCGGAGUUACCCAGUCCACCUAGCCUGCCUGCGGGAUUUAAAUUUUUGUUUUUGGAGCAGAGAGCCACCUCUCCAGCGCUGAAGGAGCCGAGAGCCGUUGGUCUCCUGCCUGACCUCCGGAGUGGUCCCGCUGGCACCGUCCCGCCUUCGCGGCCCCUUCUCUGCUGUUGGCCCUCCUGCCUCACGGCUGGAGGAGUCCUGCCGGAGCAGUCCCGCCUUCGCCGUCGGCCUCCUGCCUGACCACCAAAGCGGUCCCGCUGGCACAGUCUCGCCCUCACAGCCCCUUCUCCGCUGCCAGCCUCCUGCCCGACCGCCGGAGCGGUCCCGCCUCUGCCACUGGCCUCCUGCCAGACUGCCAGAGUGAUUCCACCUCUGCAGCUGGCCUCCUGCUCGACCGCCGGAGCGGUCCCGCCUCUGCCGCCAGCCUCCUAUCCGUCCGCUGGAGCAGUCCCACCUCUGCAGCUGGCCUCCUGCCCGACUGCCAGAGCGGUCCUGCCUCUGCAGCAAGCCUCCUGCCCAAGCGCCGGAGCAGUCCCACCUCUGCUGUCGGCCUCCUGCUCGACCGCCGGAACGGUCCCGCCUCUGCCGCCAGCCUCCUAUCCGAUCGCCGGAGUGGUCCUGCCUCUGCCGCCAGCCUCCUGCUCAACCGCCAAAGCGGUCCCGCUGGCACGGUCCCGCCUUCACGGCCCCUCCUCCGCUGCCAGCCUCCUGCCCAACUGCCAGAGCGGUCCCGCCUCUGCAGCUAGCCUCCUGCUCGACUGCCGAACCAGUCCGGCCUUCGCCGCUAGCCUCCUGCUCGACCGCCGGAGCGGUCCCGCUUCUGCCGCCAGCCUCCUAUCCAACCGCCGGAGUGGUCCCACCUUCGCCAUUGGCCUCCUGCCUGACCACCAAAUUGGUCCCGCUGGCACGGUCCCACCUUCACAGCCCCUCCUCCCCUGCCAGCCGACUGCCAGAGCGGUCCCGCCUCUGCAGCUAGCCUCCUGCUCGACCGCCGGAGCGGUCCCACCUCUGCCGCCGGCCUCAUAUCCGACCGCCAGAGCGGUCCCGCCUCUGCCGUCGGCCUCCUGCCCGACCGCCGGAGCAGUCCCGCCUCUGCCGCCGGCCUCCUGCCCAACUGCCAAAGCGAUUCCACCUCUGCAGCUAGCCUCCUGCCUGACCGCCGGAGCGGUCCCGCCUCUGCAGCUGGCCUCCUGCUCGACCGCCAGGGCAGUCCCACCUCUGCCGCCGGCCUCAUAUCCGACCGCCAGAGCAGUCCCGCCUCUGCCGUCGGCCUCCUGCCCGACCGCCGGAGCGGUCCCGCCUCUGCCGCCGGCCUCCUGCCCAACUGCCAAAGCGAUUCUGCCUCUGCAGCUAGCCUCCUGCCUGACCGCCGGAGCGGUCCCGCCUCUGCAGCUGGCCUCUUGCUCGACUGCCAGAGCGGUCCUGCCUCUCCCUCUGGCCUCCUGCCCGACUGCCAGAGCAGUCCCGCCUCUGCAGCUAGCCUCCUGCCUGACCGCUGGAGCAGUCCCGCCUUUGCAGCUAGCCUCCCACCUGACCGCCAGAGUGGUCCCGCCUCUGUUGUCGGCCUCCUUCCGACCGCCAGAGCAGUCCCGCCUCUGCAGCUAGCCUCCUGCCAACUGCUGGAGUGGUCCCGCCUCUGCAGCUAGCCUCCUGCUCAACUGCUGGGGCGGUCCCGCUUCUGCCACCGGGCUCCUAUCCGAUCGCCGGAGCCGGUACUGCCUCUGCCGCCGGCCUCCUGCUCAACCGCCAAAGCGGUCCCGCUGGCAUGGUCCCGCCUUCACAGCCCCUCCUCCACUGCCAGUCUCCUGCCCGAAGGCCGAACCAGUCCCACCUUCGCCGCUAGCCUCCUGCCCGACGCCGGAGCGGUCUCGCCUCUGCCGCCGGCCUCCUAGCCAUCCGCCGGAGCGGUCCCGCCUUUGCCAUCAGACUCCUGCCUGACCUCCGGAGUGGUCCCACUGGCACGGUCCAACCUUCGCGGCCCUUCCUCCGCUGCCGGCCUCCUGCCCAAAGGCCAGAGCAGUCCCGCCGGAGCAGUCCUGCCUUUGCCGUCGGCCUCCUGCCUGACCACCAAAGUGGUCCCGCUGGCACGGUCCCGCCUUCACGGCUCCUCCUCCGCUGCCAGCCUCCUGCCUGACUGCCAGAGCGGUCCCGCCUCUGCAGCUAGCCUUCUGCUCGACUGCCGGAGUGGUCCCGCCUCUGCAGUUAGCCUCCUGCUCGACCGCUGGAGCGGUCCCGCCUCUGCCGCCGGCCUCUUAUCCGACCACCGGAGUGGUCCUGGUUUUGCUCUCAGCCUCCUGCCCGACCGCCGGAGCGGUCCCACCUCUGCCACCGGCCUCCUGCCCAACCGCCAAAGUGGUCCCCCCUCUGCAGCUAGCCUCCUGCCCAACCGCCGGAGUGGUCCCGCCUCUGCAGCUAGCCUCCUGCUCGACCGCCGGAGCGGUCCCGCCUCUGCUGCCGGCCUGCUAUCCAACCACCGGAGUGGUCCGGCAUUCGCCAUCAGCCUCCUGCCCGACCACUGGAGCGGUCCCACGUCUGCCACCGGCCUCCUGCCCGACCGCCAGAGCGGUCCCGCGUCUGCAGCUAGCCUCCUGCCUGAUCGCCGGAGAGGUCCUGCCUCUGCCACCGGCCUCCUAUCCGAUCACCGGAAUGGUCCCGCCUCUGUCGCCGGCCUCCUGCAUGACUGCACUAUUUUAGUGACUCAAUAAAUGCCUAAGUAUUUAAUAAACAUUUCUUUAAUAGCCUAUAUGUAAUCAAUAAAUGGCCUUUCCCUAUCUAAAGAAAAACUCUCUCAGAACUGUUAAAUAAGUUAAUAAGUAAUUACAUUAAUCUUAUCUUAACUGUGUUAAGAUAAGAUUUAGAUGGAGAAAAAAAGUAGAGAAUUUCUUUGUCCAGUAUUCUGCAUUCAGUUGUUUAUGUUUUUGCAGAAUCCAGUAUUGCACACUGGUUGGUCAUUACAUUUUAUUAGUCUGGUUUCGCUG